UUUCCAUCAUCUCAUGGUUCAUUUGGAUAGGUCUGGCUUUAGUGGGAAUGGUUUGUUCGUCAAACCCUGGGAUGUAAGGAAGUUCAACCAAGUGUUUCUUCCGUUCCCAGAAAGCAUUAGGGAAUUCGGAAUAAAUUUCUUUUUCAAAGGCUUUAUGGAGAUUGGUUAUUUUAGUAAUCAUCUCCGGGGUUUUCAAGGAUUGCUCAAUUUUCUUGAUAUGAAUAUCUUGUUUAAGGAAAUUGAUAUGGGACGAGAGGCGGUUAAUUUUAAAAACCGUCCUUUCCUUAAUAAGGUGUCCUUCUUCUUGCGAGAGGGGUCGCAAUAAAGGGAAAAAUAAAGUUUGGUUUAACAGAGUUGUACGGAUUCCAUCGUAGUCACUCCAGUAAGGUCGAAUCUGGUUGACAAAGGGAAUUCCUAAAAUGAUAUCUUCAGUGAUAUCAUCGGUGAUGACAAAGUCGUUA
Molecule: long non-coding RNA, 461 nt
Filed under: Capsicum annuum
Lineage: Eukaryota; Viridiplantae; Streptophyta; Magnoliopsida; Solanales; Solanaceae
Description: long non-coding RNA (CANN_LNC001053)
Source: RNAcentral